AACUGUUGCCUGGGUCAAAAUAAGGCAUCGACGACAUAAAACCGUUUCACUUCACUAUGCCUAUCUACACACUUUUAUUCUUUCGUUUACGACAUACCUCUCAAUACAGGCGAUGAAUGCUUAGGGACAAAAAAGUUAUCUAAAUCGGAAAUAUGUUUGGCGUAUGGCUCUAAAAACAGAAGCCUGACAACCACUGAAAGAGCCCUUAACUGGAAAGAUCCACAUUUUAAUUUGAAUUUGGUGAUCAGUGGUUGUAAGAUAUUAGCCUUCAAUAAAAUAAAUAUUAAAAAUAGCGAUAUUUUAACCUCAGUGUCGUCUGGCAAUUUUAAAAACAAGAACAAACUAACGACACCCCCCGGCUUCCCCCUCCAACUUCCACAUGAGGCGCUAACUGAAUGUUUUGAUUAGAGCUGUGAAUUCCGGGGUCCUGUGUGACGUCACGACCGAAACUCUCGCGUUGUUUGCCAUCGCUACGCUCCGCCUCCGGCCGCUUUCUUGGUGUGUUGUCAUAGUAAUGGAGUACUGCGGGCAUGUGAAUCAGCUGCCAGCUGAUGCAAGCAAAAGACCCUGCCGACACCCACUGACUAAACUUUAUGAUCCAGUUGUGACUAAACAUAACAAGGAUCAGCUCCUGCAGAAGUGCGAGCAGAUGAGCCCAACACUUACAUCUGAGGACUGUCCAAGACUGGAAGACAUAUGUCAGCUGUGAUACAGCAGCAAGAUGAAAAUGGUGGCAACACAAGAGUACCAAAGGCCCCUGAAUGAUGUUUGUCUAUUUAAAAUGUGUGCUAUUAUAAAUAUACAUCUGUCUAAAUCAGUGGAGAAGGGUCUGGGCCAUUUAUGUCAUUUCUUGACCCCCAGAGGAGGCUUAGGUUAGGUCUGCAGCCAGACCUUUUUGAAUAAGAAAAAUUCAAUUCAUAGUACAGGAAGAUAGUAAUAACCACACAGAACAUUCAUUGUGUUUUCAUUGUAGUGUAUAAUGUGAAUGCAUCUCUUAAUACAGCAGCAUCAAUGAAGAACCUUAUGUGACUUGCAGCAUGCAUUCACCACAAUACUAGAACAGGACAAUUAUCACAAUUAAAAUAUUUUUUCUUUAUAAAAUUUAGCAUAACUUCCACACUUUAAAAUGCAAUAUCAUAACACAGAUUGUCUUUUGUCAAUUGUUAAGUGUCUAAUACUAAAGCUGAAGCAC
Molecule: long non-coding RNA, 1192 nt
Organism: Paramormyrops kingsleyae
Lineage: Eukaryota; Metazoa; Chordata; Actinopteri; Osteoglossiformes; Mormyridae
Source: RefSeq, a predicted model, not a curated record